RNAcentral lists this ribosomal RNA (253 nucleotides) under uncultured bacterium. RNAcentral's name for it is "partial 16S ribosomal RNA". It matches the Rfam family "Bacterial small subunit ribosomal RNA", at positions 524 to 776 of the family's 1533-position model. The record is from RNAcentral.
UACGGGGGGGGCAAGCGUUGUUCGGAAUUACUGGGCGUAAAGGGCUCGUAGGCGGCCAACUAAGUCAACCGUGAAAUCCCUCGGCUUAACCGGGGAACUGCGCUUGAUACUGGAUGGCUUGAGAUUGGGAGAGGGAUGCGGAAUUCCAGGUGUAGCGGUGAAAUGCGUAGAUAUCUGGAGGAACACCGGUGGCGAAGGCGGCAUCCUGGACCAACACUGACGCUGAGGAGCGAAAGCCAGGGGAGCAAACGGG